GCUUUCGUGGUGUAGUGGUAACACACUCGGCGCGUAUUCGAGAGGUCCGUGGUUCGAGUCCCGCCGAGGGCA
RNAcentral lists this transfer RNA (72 nucleotides) under Stegodyphus mimosarum. It matches the Rfam family "tRNA". Rfam says of the family: Transfer RNA (tRNA) molecules are approximately 80 nucleotides in length. Their secondary structure includes four short double-helical elements and three loops (D, anti-codon, and T loops). Lineage: Eukaryota; Metazoa; Arthropoda; Arachnida; Araneae; Eresidae. The record is from Rfam by way of RNAcentral.